RNAcentral lists this ribosomal RNA (552 nucleotides) under Triticum aestivum (bread wheat). RNAcentral's name for it is "partial small subunit ribosomal RNA". The record is from RNAcentral. Lineage: Eukaryota; Viridiplantae; Streptophyta; Magnoliopsida; Poales; Poaceae.
AUGGCCGCUCCGUCGCCGCCCACACCAGGCACGGGCAGGCUCCCGACGAUGGCGGACAUCAUGGCCGCGUCACGCGCGCAGGGCCUACGCGUGCGCUUAAGCACGGUUGGCCCUCUCUUCCGCGUCACGGCAACCCGCGUCGGCGGCGACGGCGACGUGGAGCUGGGCCGCGCCGAGGGCGCUGUCCGGCCCUGGCCCGGGGGCUCCGUGCUGCACCUCGACUCCAUGCGGAUGUCGCGCGCCACGCUCGAGGUCCCUGACCGGCCGCUCUUCGGCCUCGGCAUCUUCCUAGGCGCCGUCACCGUGCGCCAUGGCUUCGACGCUGGCUGCGUGCGCGCCGAUCUGCUAGCCAUCAACGAUACGCCGCUCUAUCACAACAAGCUUGUUAAGUUCUAUACGAGGAUGGGUUUCAAAGCAGUGCAUGAGGUAGAUGGAUCAUCAAUGAUGGAUCUUGCUCAUAUGUUAGUGUGGGGAGGUAAAGGAACAAGAAUGGAUGCUGAUAUAGAACAGCUCCUCAUGAAGUGGAGCAGAAGAUUCGGAUCUCAAGACUGA